AGUCUCAAAAAUCACAUCUUCCACUGAAUGUUCCCUAAUUUCAUGAUGGUUAUCGUUGUACAGAUAAUGUCAUAGAGGAGAGUUGAAAGCCGGGUUGCCUGUCUUCAAAGCUCAUCAUCUCAGUUACCAGGCUGGAGGUGUCCUAAUAUGGAAUGGGAGGAAGAUGGAGUAGUUACUAGGUCUCCCAUACCCGGUGAUGUACAGUAGUGCUGGAUAGCUCUGGAGAGCAGUUCUGGCUGGCAAAGAAAGCAGCAAGGAUUGCUAGGAACCAUCUCGCCAUUCAAAGCUGAAAGUUGGCUGCAGAGUAGAUUUUGGUUUUCCCCAUGGAUGCUGAAAGAGAAGGGAAGAAUCAUUUCUGACAAUUCUGCAUGGCUUCUGCAUUGCAACUGGAUGUAGAAUCUGCUCCUGUUUGCAUCCAUGUUCCCAGGAUGAAUUUUUAUUGACAGAAGAAAAGGUAGCUGCCUCACCAGCCCAAGGAGAUGGUGCCAUAUUGAAGACUCAAUUUUGGUUUAUUUGGCUGGAAGAAGGGACACUCAGCAAUGUAGGAAACCAAUACAUCUUCCAAUCUGAUGGGAUCUUCAAACUCAUAAGAUUUUCCUAAAUGCUGACUGGAGGGUUUGAGCUGAUAUCCAUGGAACGAGAAUGAUUAUUCGUUUUUUGUGUUUUUUUGGUGCCAGGGAUUGAACUCGGGACCUUGAGCUUGCAAGGCAGGCACUGGAACCACUGAGCUAAAUCCCCGACCUGAGAAUGAUUAUUUGUAAUGCAGACCAUUUUCUUGCCUCCAGCCCAUAGAAAACUGUAUUUUGAGAAUGAUUUGAACUGUAAGAUAAAACUUUACAAUCCCUAAAUAAAAAAUUAAAGUUC
Heterocephalus glaber (naked mole-rat) is the source of this 864-nucleotide long non-coding RNA. RefSeq lists it as uncharacterized. Lineage: Eukaryota; Metazoa; Chordata; Mammalia; Rodentia; Bathyergidae. The record is from RefSeq and is a predicted model, not a curated record.